UUGUGGAGGAGGACGCCGAAGGUGGGGCUAAUGACCGGGGUGAAGUCGUAACAAGGUAGCUGUACCGGAAGGUGCGGCUGGAUCACCUCCUAACAAGGAGACAACAAAAUGUAAAUAUUAAUUUUGUCACCUUAGGUCGAUCGGUAUCUCAGAUUCUUAUUAUUUAAGAAUUUCAGUUUCUAAGUUUUUUCUAGGUCACACCCAUCACUUUUUCCUGGGCCAUUAGCUCAGGUGGUUAGAGCGCACCCCUGAUAAGGGUGAGGUCCCUGGUUCAAGUCCAGGAUGGCCCAUAUCUCUAUGUUGGGGGUAUAGCUCAGUUGGUAGAGCGCCUGCUUUGCAAGCAGGAUGUCAGCGGUUCGAGUCCGCUUACCUCCACUGAAUACCACCUCUUACAUAUAGUUGAAGUGGGAAAUUGUUUUGAGUCGUGUCCUAAUUUGCUCUGAGCGAAUCUAGCUUCCUAUUUUAUCCAAGAAAUAAGAUGCUGGACUCAUUGAAUUUUUUUUCGUUGUUUUCAGAGAACCUUGACAACUGCAUAGAUUAUUUUUAAAGACAAUAAGCAUCUUUAAUGAUGCAGAUUUAUUAUUUGUGCGAAUGCAUUAAAUAACAAUUCUAUUAAGCUGAUGCUUCAAUUAUUGAAGUUAUUGGUCAAGCUACAA
RNAcentral lists this unclassified non-coding RNA (656 nucleotides) under uncultured Prochlorococcus sp. Its description in RNAcentral is "partial 16S-23S ribosomal RNA intergenic spacer; may also contain 16S ribosomal RNA and 23S ribosomal RNA". The stretch from base 303 to 375 matches the Rfam family "tRNA". Lineage: Bacteria; Bacillati; Cyanobacteriota; Cyanophyceae; Synechococcales; Prochlorococcaceae. The record is from RNAcentral.